GCCGAGGUAGCUCAGUCGGUAGAGCAGGGGACUGAAAAUCCCCGUGUCGGCGGUUCGAUUCCGUUCCUCGGCACCA
This 76-nucleotide transfer RNA is filed under the name Pseudomonadota bacterium. Its description in RNAcentral is "Proteobacteria bacterium tRNA-Phe". It matches the Rfam family "tRNA". Rfam says of the family: Transfer RNA (tRNA) molecules are approximately 80 nucleotides in length. Their secondary structure includes four short double-helical elements and three loops (D, anti-codon, and T loops). Further hydrogen bonds mediate the characteristic L-shaped molecular structure. tRNAs have two regions of fundamental functional importance: the anti-codon, which is responsible for specific mRNA codon recognition, and the 3' end, to which the tRNAs corresponding amino acid is attached (by aminoacyl-tRNA synthetases). tRNAs cope with the degeneracy of the genetic code in two manners: having more than one tRNA (with a specific anti-codon) for a particular amino acid; and 'wobble' base-pairing, i.e. permitting non-standard base-pairing at the 3rd anti-codon position. RNAcentral also lists the same sequence under 1 other name. Lineage: Bacteria; Pseudomonadati; Pseudomonadota. The record is from RNAcentral.